Molecule: ribosomal RNA, 440 nt
Filed under: uncultured bacterium
Lineage: Bacteria
Description: partial 16S ribosomal RNA
Rfam family: Bacterial small subunit ribosomal RNA
Source: RNAcentral
CUACGGGCGGCAGCAGUGGGGAAUAUUGCACAAUGGGCGAAAGCCUGAUGCAGCAACGCCGCGUGAGUGAAGAAGGCCUUCGGGUCGUAAAACUCUUUUCUUGGGGAAGAAAUGAUGACGGUACCCAAGGAAUAAGCCCCGGCUAAUUACGUGCCAGCAGCCGCGGUAAUACGUAAGGGGCAAGCGUUAUCCGGAAUCACUGGGCGUAAAGGGUGCGUAGGUGGUCCUGUAAGUCAGAAGUGAAAGGCUACGGCGUAACCGUAGUAAGCUUUUGAAACUGUGGGACUUGAGUGCAGGAGAGGAAAGUGGAAUUCCUAGUGUAGCGGUGAAAUGCGUAGAUAUUAGGAGGAACACCAGUGGCGAAGGCGACUUUCUGGACUGUAACUGACACUGAGGCACGAAAGCGUGGGGAGCAAACAGGAUUAGAUACCCCAGUAGUC